RNAcentral lists this non-coding RNA (23 nucleotides) under Cricetulus griseus (Chinese hamster). The record is from RNAcentral. Lineage: Eukaryota; Metazoa; Chordata; Mammalia; Rodentia; Cricetidae.
AAAUUGGAAGGUGUAGUUAGGGU